Molecule: ribosomal RNA, 403 nt
Filed under: bacterium
Lineage: Bacteria
Description: partial 16S ribosomal RNA
Rfam family: Bacterial small subunit ribosomal RNA
Source: RNAcentral
UGGGGAAUAUUGCACAAUGGAGGGAACUCUGAUGCAGCGACGCCGCGUGAACGAAGAAGGCUUUCGAGUCGUAAAGUUCUUUUAUAUGGGAAGAUAAUGACGGUACCAUAAGAAAAAGCCCCGGCUAACUACGUGCCAGCAGCCGCUGUAAUACGUAGGGGGCUAGCGUUGUCCGGAAUCACUGGGCGUAAAGGGUUCGCAGGCGGAAAUGCAAGUCAGGUGUAAAAGGCAGUAGCUUAACUACUGUAAGCAUUUGAAACUGCAUAUCUUGAGAAGAGUAGAGGUAAGUGGAAUUUUUAGUGUAGCGGUGAAAUGCGUAGAUAUUAAAAAGAAUACCGGUGGCGAAGGCGACUUACUGGGCUCAUUCUGACGCUGAGGAACGAAAGCGUGGGUAGCAAACAGG